UACGUAGGGGGCUAGCGUUGUUCGGAAUUACUGGGCGUAAAGCGUGCGCAGGCGGCUUUCCAAGUCAGUGGUGAAAGCCCGGAGCUCAACUCCGGAAAUGCCAUUGAAACUGUGAAGCUCGAGAACGAGAGAGGUGAGUGGAAUUCCCAGUGUAGAGGUGAAAUUCGUAGAUAUUGGGAAGAACACCAGUGGCGAAGGCGGCUCACUGGCUCGUAACUGACGCUGAGGUGCGAAAGCGUGGGGAGCAAACAGG
Molecule: ribosomal RNA, 253 nt
Filed under: uncultured bacterium
Lineage: Bacteria
Description: partial 16S ribosomal RNA
Rfam family: Bacterial small subunit ribosomal RNA
Source: RNAcentral